UUUGUACACUCUGCAUAGAGAAGUCUGAAAUUCCAACAAAAACCAACCGGAUCUUCACCAAAUUCUCUCAAAAUAUUUAGUGGCUGUCAACGAAGAUUUUUAUUAGUUGUCAAAUUCUUCUCUAUAACAUCGGUGGGUUUACCAGAGUCCUCUCAAUCCGUUAAGAGGUUUAUUUCUUUCGCAGAGUUGAUGGUGAAAGAAUUUUAUGGAUCGUCAAUGAAUUUGAAGAGGUUUGAAUUUGGAGAAAGAAGAAGAAGAAGGAGAGAAAAUGGG
Molecule: non-coding RNA, 273 nt
Organism: Nicotiana tabacum (common tobacco)
Lineage: Eukaryota; Viridiplantae; Streptophyta; Magnoliopsida; Solanales; Solanaceae
Source: RefSeq, a predicted model, not a curated record